Molecule: small RNA, 31 nt
Filed under: Arabidopsis thaliana (thale cress)
Lineage: Eukaryota; Viridiplantae; Streptophyta; Magnoliopsida; Brassicales; Brassicaceae
Description: ATSL124840
Source: RNAcentral
UGCUUUGUGGAGUCUCUCUCUUCUCUCUCUC